This is a long non-coding RNA of Oxyura jamaicensis (ruddy duck), 253 nucleotides long. RefSeq lists it as uncharacterized. The record is from RefSeq and is a predicted model, not a curated record. The transcript is spliced from 2 exons. Lineage: Eukaryota; Metazoa; Chordata; Aves; Anseriformes; Anatidae.
ACUAAUGAACCAGCCACGGGCAGCAACAACCAUUUCAAAUAACUUAAGGUUCUAGUUCAUUACUGCAACAACCACUUCCGUGCUGGGAAUGAGGAAGUAGUAUUAGGCAAUUUAUAUAUAUAUAUAUGAAUAUAUAUAUAUAUAUAUAAAUCCUAUAUUAGACAUAAGAUUGUGAAGAAAAAGUCCAUGCACCCCUUCCCUUUUGCUUAGUUUGAGCAUUCCAAAUUUCUGUUUUAUGAAUGUCUUCUUUAGG